UACCUCGUUUGCCGUACAUUGUAUUAGCUUCCGUCAAUAUUCCUGUUAUGAAAAUAAUUAUUCAUGCGAGGGCCGGGCAAGGAAGCGGCACAGAUUCGUUUCAUGUUUUGUUGAUUUAACGCUUUCGAUAAACAAGCGAAGUUUGGGGAUAAAAAUGACUGUAGAAUAGCUAGUCAGCCAGUGCCGGAUCACGGAGUUAGUUGGCGACUUCGUAUUUUCUAAGUUCAAACAUGAAACACGUCGUUUUUGUGGGUGUAAGCAUGCUGGUUGUAGCGGUUAUUCUAGAGGCGCACUUCACAAAAGCGUUCUUCUAUUUGAAAAGAAAAAAAACUGAUGGCAAGCGAGGCCUGGCGGCGGCGAUUUUCAAGGAAGGGAGGAGAGCCCAUAAUAUCCCCGUCAGGAUAUCUAUCCCAGUGGUGGAAGAGACGGACUGGGGCCCACCAAGGGAGAAGGAGUCUAGACCAUGGUGGUCUUGAAUGGGAGAAGUGAAACUGAAAAAAAAAACCCUAGGAUGAAUACUACACAUGGUGGGAGCCAUAACAGAGAGAUAUGGAUAAGGACGUGCAAAGACAAAAAGAAUUCGUGAACAACACACCUUUUUCUCUUGUAAUUCUAUUUUAAAUAGAAUGAUAGCAUCAUUAAAUUUUGGAAAUAAGGAAAUAUUAUUUCCAUCUAAAGUCACAGUGCUUUUUGUGAAAUAAAACAUAUGAA
Molecule: long non-coding RNA, 711 nt
Organism: Nematostella vectensis (starlet sea anemone)
Lineage: Eukaryota; Metazoa; Cnidaria; Anthozoa; Actiniaria; Edwardsiidae
Exons: 3
Source: RefSeq, a predicted model, not a curated record